AACGAACGCUGGCGGCAUGCCUAACACAUGCAAGUCGAACGAGACCUUCGGGUCUAGUGGCGCACGGGUGCGUAACGCGUGGGAACCUGCCCUUAGGUUCCGCAUAACUCCCCGAAAGGGGUGCUAAUACCGGAUAAUGUCUUCGGACCAAAGAUUUAUCGCCUUUGGAUGGGCCCGCGUUGGAUUAGCUAGUUGGUAGGGUAAAAGCCUACCAAGGCGACGAUCCAUAGCUGGUCUGAGAGGAUGAUCAGCCACACUGGGACUGAGACACGGCCCAGACUCCUACGGGAGGCAGCAGUGGGGAAUAUUGGACAAUGGGCGAAAGCCGGAUCCAGCCAUGCCGCGUGAGUGAUGAAGGCCUUAGGGUUGUAAAGCUCUUUUACCCGGGAUGAUAAUGACAGUACCGGGAGAAUAAGCUCCGGCUAACUCCGU
RNAcentral lists this ribosomal RNA (432 nucleotides) under uncultured bacterium. RNAcentral describes it as "partial 16S ribosomal RNA". It matches the Rfam family "Bacterial small subunit ribosomal RNA", at positions 29 to 506 of the family's 1533-position model. The record is from RNAcentral.